GACGAACGCUGGCGGCGUGCCUAACACAUGCAAGUCGAACGGAGUUGAUCCUUCGGGAUUAACUUAGUGGCGAACGGGUGAGUAACGCGUGAGGAACCUGCCUUUCAGUGGGGGACAACAGUUGGAAACGACUGCUAAUACCGCAUAACACAUUCGAGGGGCAUCCCUUGAAUGUCAAAGAUUUAUUGCUGAAAGAUGGCCUCGCGUCUGAUUAGCUAGUUGGUGAGGUAACGGCUCACCAAGGCGACGAUCAGUAGCCGGUCUGAGAGGAUGAACGGCCACAUUGGGACUGAGAUACGGCCCAG
This 305-nucleotide ribosomal RNA is filed under the name uncultured bacterium. RNAcentral's name for it is "bacterial SSU rRNA". It matches the Rfam family "Bacterial small subunit ribosomal RNA", at positions 28 to 334 of the family's 1533-position model. The record is from RNAcentral.